AUCCUCAAUCUAGAUUAGAAUGGGCACUGUUGAUUGGUGUCCACAAUUGACCAAUACGGCUAACAGUGAGACACAGGCAUGCUUCUAUCACAGUAAACAUUUACAGUGGUGACAGUAAGACCUGUAACAUUU
Cavia aperea (Brazilian guinea pig) is the source of this 132-nucleotide small nucleolar RNA. The record is from Ensembl. Lineage: Eukaryota; Metazoa; Chordata; Mammalia; Rodentia; Caviidae.